UUCCUUCCCUUUUCUCUUGGAUUUCUUCCCUUGCUGCUGCUGCACCAUCAAUCAUGGGAUUCAUGGCAACUUUUUUUUUUUCUUUUUAUGAUCCUAUGAUUUCGUGCUCGUUGAACUUGAGACGUAGGGCACAACAGAUUUGCUAGGUUUUCAAAGGACAUCUGUGACUCAUGUUGGGAGUUUUUGCCAAUUCUAUAGAUCCUUGUCGUGGCAAUAUAUCAUCUCAUCUGAUUUCCCUAUGCAUCUUCGCUAUGCUCAUAGGAGAACGAAGAAGGAAAGAUGUCCUAUGUUUUGCAUGGUACCAGUGGCUAUGGGUCCCUGAAUUCUGCAUGUUCAGGAUUUUAAUGCCCCCUUCCUCAAUCUCAAACUAACGGGCUUAGAUUUGCAUGUUAGAAUCCUUUAUAUUUUUUUUGGUUUUUCCUCUGAUUAGCUGACCCUUUUAGGUUGGAUUAUUGCGUGAGAUAUUUCUCUUGCCGGGCUCAAGUUGUUCAGCCUAAAUUUUUCUUGUUAUACAAUAAAUAAUCUGAAAACAUGGCCAAAAUUAUGGUUUUCUUCUAUAACACUUACGAGGUGCAAGCAUAGGCUCUAGUGAGUAAAUUUUAAAAUUAAUGAAAAAUUUAAAAUAAGAAAGUGAGCUAAAGAGAAUCAACACGUUUCAUAUGGAAAAUCACAAACAUUUAAAAUUCUUAGCAAUUUUCAAAUGGAUUGAGUUUUUUAUGGGGACUAACUUUCUAGAGCUAAUUAGUUUGACAUAUGAGAUGGUUUUCUAUCUAAGCAAGAAGGUAUGAGAAUAAAGUUGCAAAGAAGUCAUUUUUACUUAUUCGUCAAAUAUAGAUUCUUAAUUAAAGUUAUUUCCAAGUUGUGUACUACCAUACUUUUCUGAAUAUUGCAUUUGGAUUAUUCAUAUGUUUGAAAUCACAGCGGUAAUUGUUGGAUCAAUGAAGCUAGUUGUGUUAGUAAGCAAGAAAACAUGAUAAACAUAAACUCAAAGCACAAAUACAAACAAGCACAUUUGGUAUGUAUGCCCAAUUUCUACUCUACAACUUAUGAUCCUUUAGUGGGUCACUCCUGGAAUCUCUCUAUACUUUCUCCUACUUGGAUACCUUUUGGAGGUGGAGAAACCUCUUCCAACCUUGCUUACAAUAAAGAGGAACAAAAUAAGAUAAAAAUAAUAAAUUUAACAAUAAGAAAAGCUUACAUGAUUGAAGUCGCUCUUUGGCUAGCUUUCACUUAUUGUUGCUUGAGUUUUAUCUCUUUUGAAUGAUCAAGAUCCUCCUUUGUAUAGAGUUUUUGUUGCCAACAAUUAAAAACUCCUCCCACCUUCAAGCCACUUGGCAAUCAACUAUAAAUUGAUCUCGUGAUUUACCUCUCUUCACAUAACCUGAGACAGGCGGUAAGGGGUGUUUGGGGUGAUUGUAAUUACCUUUCGCUAUAAUUUUGUUGCCAAUAGUUACUUGCUGAAAUUAUUAGUCAACUCGUAAGUUUCCUGAGUUGACUAAUUGCAUUAGUUAAAUUGAGAACCUUCAUAUAGUUGACCAUUUGACUAAUUGAUUCCCUAUCCAAUCGAUUGUUCUGUUAUAACAUUUAAAUCACAUUAUGUUCUUAACAUGUUAUAUUAGUGACUCUAGAUUCUUGUAGUUGUAUUAGUUAACUAAUCUUAACUAUCUAUUGACUAGUCAUACCUCAGUCGUUUGGUUAGUUGAGUGAUCCCUGAAUAGAAACUUUCUAUCUGUUAGUAAUCGAACCUAGGUCGACAACUUGGUCGGCUUAACCAUUUGUUGACUUAAACCUUGAUUUCAGCCAACUUUAAAGUUGAGUCCUUCCUAAGUGAAGUCUAUCCAAACCCUAAGCUCUAAGUCACUUGGAGACUCUCAUCUUUCAUAGGUUCCCUUACCAAGAGUUUCAUUACCUCUGAGCUUAUCUUGCUAAGAGGUUUUACUUCUGGGAUUUCAUUUGCCUAGAGACUAUAUCUCUAAGACCUCCAUAUCUGCCUAGCAUUGGCCAAACUUACCUACGAGGACUUUCUUAGGCCUCUAAAACUUUAUUAUUUUUUUCCUAGUGUUAGUCAACCUUGAUUCACCAAAACUUUUAUUUACCCAGCCUUAUGUCUAUCUUGACCUACGAGGACUUUCACUUGCACUUUAAUCUGCUAGGGGUUCCAUUUGCCUAGCUUUAGGUUCACUUUGACCUAAUAGGACUUCUACUUGCCUAACCUUAGGUCUACCUUGACCUGUUAGAACCUCCACAUCAACCAACUUUGACCCGCCUAACAUCUAGUCAAUUUUGAUCUACUUAAACUUUCUUUAUUUGCUAAGCAUUUGGUCAAUCUUAGCUGCUUGCCUAGACUUUCAUCACAUGUCAAACAUUUAGUCAAUCUUGACCUGCCUCCCUUAUGUACUAAGCAUUUAGUCAAUCUUGACUAGACUUUCAAAUAUCCGAUCAACCUUGAUAUGUUUGUCAACCUUUAUUUGAUUGGACUUCCAUCACUUGCUAAAUACCUAGUUAAGCUAAAUCUUGGCAUGCCUAGUCUUUCUCAAGGCAAACAAAUUCUCGAUGUUCAUAUGCAUGAAGGUCUCCAUUCUUAUCUUUCAAUAGAAGAAGCCUCCUAAUGCAAACGACAGUGGAAACGGAGUGUCAUAGUCAAAUCUAUCUUCAAAUUCCAUUUUGAUUCGAGUGGAUUCUCUACUUCUCUAGCCUUGUUCACUCUUCGCAAUUAGUCCUGAAGAAUGACUCCUUUAGCAACUUGCUUGAUUGAUCAUUAAGGCUUUCAUAGCUUCCUAGCUUAGCUUGUUAGAUUGAUUAAGCCAACUAGAGGAUGGUGGGAGUGGGGUGAAUUAUUGAUUGCUCUUUUUUGACGUUCAAUUCUAUAAUUGUGUUAGGAUGUAACAAAAUAGAUGAAUACAAAUCCAACAUGACUAUUUAUGUGGUUCAAAAUCCCUAGUUCUUAUUUUAUGGUCUAUAAUCCUUUGGUGGAUUACUCCUAGAUUCCCUCUAUACUUUCUCCGUCUUAGGUGCCUCUCGAAGGUUGAAAAAUACAAUUAAGAGCAACAACAAACAACAACCAAGCUUUAUCCUACUAGGUGAGGUCGACUAUAUAAAUCCUUUUACCUAUUGAGUUCUAUCCUCUACUAUAUUAUCAUCUAUAUUUAAAUAAAUAUAUUCAAGAUACAGUACCGUGGUGUAUGUUAUUUGUAGAUAAUAUUGUUUUAGUAGAUGAGACACGUGAAAGAGUAAAUACUAAAUUAGAAUUUUGACAAGAAACACUAGAAGUGAAAGGUUUUAGGUUUAGUAGAGUAAAGACAAAAUAUAUGGAAUUAAGUUUAGCAAUAUUAAACGUAAUGAAAUAAUUGUUAAGAUAGGAGAUGAUAAGUUAUUUUGAACAACUUUAAGUAUUUAAGAUCAUUUUUUUAAAAUGACGGAGGAAUUGAGAGAGAUGCUUUAUAUAGAAUAUAAGUAGGAUGGUUGAAAUGGAGAAGAGCGUCGAUUGUUUUAUGUGAUUGUAAAGUAUCUUUAAAACUUAAAGGAAAGUUCUACAAAACGACAGUUAGACUUGCUAUGCUAUGUAAUUAUGAAUGCAGGGCUAUGACUCAAGCACA
Molecule: long non-coding RNA, 3596 nt
Organism: Zingiber officinale
Lineage: Eukaryota; Viridiplantae; Streptophyta; Magnoliopsida; Zingiberales; Zingiberaceae
Exons: 3
Source: RefSeq, a predicted model, not a curated record